ACAGCAGCCGCCACGGUAAUACGGAAGGUCCAGGCGUUAUCCGGAUUUAUUGGGUUUAAAGGGAGCGUAGGCUGGAGAUUAAGUGUGUUGUGAAAUGUAGACGCUCAACGUCUGACUUGCAGCGCAUACUGGUUUCCUUGAGUACGCACAACGUUGGCGGAAUUCGUCGUGUAGCGGUGAAAUGCUUAGAUAUGACGAAGAACUCCGAUUGCGAAGGCAGCUGACGGGAGCGCAACUGACGCUUAAGCUCGAAGGUGCGGGUAUCAAACAGGAUUAGAUACCCCCGUAGUCCCUGUCUCUUAUAC
RNAcentral lists this ribosomal RNA (305 nucleotides) under uncultured bacterium. RNAcentral's name for it is "partial 16S ribosomal RNA". It matches the Rfam family "Bacterial small subunit ribosomal RNA", at positions 508 to 807 of the family's 1533-position model. The record is from RNAcentral.